This 1554-nucleotide ribosomal RNA is filed under the name human gut metagenome. RNAcentral's name for it is "bacterial LSU rRNA". It matches the Rfam family "Bacterial large subunit ribosomal RNA", at positions 831 to 2461 of the family's 2925-position model. The record is from RNAcentral.
AAUCGAACUCGGAGAUAGCUGGUUCUCCCCGAAAUAGCUUUAGGGCUAGCGUUAUCUUAGAUUACCGGAGGUAAAGCACUGAAUGGGCUAGGGGGCGAUAAGCUUACUGAACCCUAUCAAACUCUGAAUGCCGGAUAAUUGAUGGAUAGCAGUCAGACAGUGUGAGAUAAGUUUCAUUGUCAAAAGGGAAACAGCCCAGACCCACAGCUAAGGUCCCAAAUGUAUGCUAAGUGGAAAACGAUGUGGAGUUGCGAAAACAACCAGGAUGUUGGCUUAGAAGCAGCCACUCAUUAAAAGAGUGCGUAAUAGCUCACUGGUCGAGUGACUCUGCGCGGAAAAUGUAACGGGGCUAAGUAUACAACCGAAGCUUGGGAUUGUCUAAAGACAGUGGUAGGGGAGCGUCGUGUACGGGGUGAAGUCGCAUCGGAAGGAGCGGUGGACUGUACACGAGUGAGAAUGCCGGAAUGAGUAGCGAGAAUUAUGUGGGAAUCAUAAUGGCCGAAAAUCUAAGGUUUCUUGGGGAAGGUUCGUCCGCCCAAGGUAAGCCGGGAGCUAAGGCGAGGCCGCAAGGCGUAGUCGAUGCACAUACGGUAGAAAUUCCGUAGCCACCGAACCUUAAACCGGAAGGACACUUUCAGAUAGCAGAACCCAGCCGUUGGUAGAGCUGGGCGAAAGGGACUGAAAUAUAGUAGGGAAGUCUGCGAUGCUGAGAGGCGAGAAAAGCUCCGGUGUAUGCUAAGGUGCCCGUACCGCAAACCGACACAGGUAGAUGAGGAGAGAAUCCUAAGGCCAACGGGAGAAGGGUUGUUAAGGAACUCGGCAAAUUGACCCCGUAACUUCGGAAGAAGGGGAGCCCCGAAAGGGGCCGCAGUGAAUAGGCCCAAGCAACUGUUUACCAAAAACACAGGUUUAUGCUAAAUCGAAAGAUGACGUAUAUGAGCUGACGCCUGCCCGGUGCCGGAAGGUUAAGAGGAGAUGUCAACCUUAAGGUGAAGCAUUGAAUUGAAGCCCCGGUAAACGGCGGCCGUAACUAUAACGGUCCUAAGGUAGCGAAAUUCCUUGUCAGGUAAGUUCUGACCCGCACGAAUGGCGUAAUGAUUUGGGCACUGUCUCAACAGCCCGCCCGGCGAAAUUGUAGUACUGGUGAAGAUGCCAGUUACCCGCAACUAGACGGAAAGACCCCAUGGAGCUUUACUGCAGUUUAAUACUGGGAAUCGGUAAUGCAUGUACAGGAUAGGUGGGAGACUUGGAAGCAUAGUCGUCAGGCUAUGUGGAGUCACCGGUGGGAUACCACUCUUGUAUUGCUGGUUUCCUAACCUGCGGCCGUGAAUCCGGUCGGGGGACACUGUUAGACGGGCAGUUUGACUGGGGCGGUCGCCUCCAAAAGAGUAACGGAGGCGCUCAAAGGUUCGUUCAGCACGGACGGAAAUCGUGCAUUGAGUGUAAACGCAUAAACGAGCCUAACUGCGAGACCGACGGGUCGAGCAGUAACGAAAGUUGGAGUUAGUGAUCCGGUGGUAUGUGAGUGGAAAUGCCAUCGCUCAACGGAUAAAA